GAAGUUUCUACUUUUGGGCCUGUUGUGUCUGCAGGUUUUUCUGCUCGCUACAGCAUUCACGUCUUCGGAGAAAGCUGCUCUCCUCACAGAUGAUCAACAGCUGGCYAAUCUGAAGGAAGAMGGCAAAGGGAUGAAGAGAACUCAAUUUCGAGGAUGGAAAGGCUGUGGAAGGAGGAUUGGGGACUGUAAUUCUUUCAGAGUGGAACCAACAAAGAAUCCAAAACCAACCMGAGCCAGAAAAUAAAUGAUKGAUGACAGAAACAACUUGCCAACACGUGAACAUCAAAAAUCCAAAAUAUUUUUUUUCUUAUCAACUUCCUUAUUUGCUAUAUCUCAAGUAAAUCUUUGCUUUGCAACCUAAUGAAAUGCUUCAAGGAAAUAAAUCUGUUUUYUCUCAUGCUUAUUAUAUUAAAAACACAUUUUAAAUGA
Long non-coding RNA from Poecilia reticulata (guppy), 429 nucleotides. RefSeq lists it as uncharacterized. The record is from RefSeq and is a predicted model, not a curated record. Lineage: Eukaryota; Metazoa; Chordata; Actinopteri; Cyprinodontiformes; Poeciliidae.